CCCUUAGAUGUCCUGCGCCGCACGCGCGCUACAAUGAGCAGAUCAAUGGGUACUUCCUUAGUCGAAAGGCUUGGGUAAUCCUGAAAACCUGCUCGUGAUGGGGCUAGAUUAUUGCAAUUAUUAAUCUUCAACGAGGAAUGCCUAGUAAACGCACGUCAUCAUCGUGCAUUGAAUACAUCCCUGCCCUUUGUACACACCGCCCGUCGCGUCUACCGAUGAAUUCUGCGGUGAGAUCUCGGGAGUCUUUUUAAGUUAUCUUCUUCGGGAGAAAACUUUUAAGGACAAACCUGCUCAAACCUUAGCAUUUAGAGGAAGAUGAAGUCGUAACA
This 329-nucleotide ribosomal RNA is filed under the name uncultured eukaryote. RNAcentral describes it as "partial 18S ribosomal RNA". It matches the Rfam family "Eukaryotic small subunit ribosomal RNA", at positions 1470 to 1796 of the family's 1831-position model. The record is from RNAcentral.